RNAcentral lists this ribosomal RNA (401 nucleotides) under Sulfurovum sp. RNAcentral's name for it is "partial 23S ribosomal RNA". It matches the Rfam family "Bacterial large subunit ribosomal RNA", at positions 2513 to 2925 of the family's 2925-position model. The record is from RNAcentral. Lineage: Bacteria; Pseudomonadati; Campylobacterota; Epsilonproteobacteria; Campylobacterales; Sulfurovaceae.
GAGGUUUGGCACCUCGAUGUCGGCUCAUCACAUCCUGGGGCUGAAGCAGGUCCCAAGGGUACGGCUGUUCGCCGUUUAAAGUGGUACGCGAGCUGGGUUCAGAACGUCGUGAGACAGUUCGGUCCCUAUCUGCCGUGGGCGUUGGAUGAUUGAGGAGAGUUGCCCCUAGUACGAGAGGACCGGGGUGAACGAACCACUAGUGUACCAGUUGUCCUGCCAAGGGCAUCGCUGGGUAGCUACGUUCGGAUGAGAUAACCGCUGAAGGCAUCUAAGCGGGAAGCCAACUCCAAGAUGAAUCAUCCCUGAAGACCCCUCGAAGACUACGAGGUUGAUAGGCUGGGUGUGUAAGUGUUGAAAGACAUUUAGCUGACCAGUACUAAUAGGUCGUUUGUAUUUACUCU